CUCCGCGCCUGGUGCGCGGAGCCUUUUUCCGAAUGCAACAAGGGGUCUGCCCGUG
This 55-nucleotide non-coding RNA is filed under the name Pantoea brenneri. Its description in RNAcentral is "ClpQY_promoter". It matches the Rfam family "ClpQY promoter". The record is from RNAcentral. Lineage: Bacteria; Pseudomonadati; Pseudomonadota; Gammaproteobacteria; Enterobacterales; Erwiniaceae. RNAcentral also lists the same sequence under 1 other name.